GCUGCCUUGGGCAGCAUGUGUGCUGAAAUUGGAACAAUACAGAGAAGAUUAGCAUGGCUCCUGCACAAAGAUGACAUGCAAAUUCAUGAAGCGCUCCAUAGUUUG
Cynocephalus volans (Philippine flying lemur) is the source of this 105-nucleotide small nuclear RNA. The record is from RefSeq and is a predicted model, not a curated record. Lineage: Eukaryota; Metazoa; Chordata; Mammalia; Dermoptera; Cynocephalidae.